Molecule: long non-coding RNA, 1647 nt
Organism: Podarcis raffonei (Aeolian wall lizard)
Lineage: Eukaryota; Metazoa; Chordata; Lepidosauria; Squamata; Lacertidae
Exons: 2
Source: RefSeq, a predicted model, not a curated record
AGUUGGGUCAUGCAGACAGUAUUUGACAAUUCUCCUUGGGAAAUUGGUGUGCCCUGUGGAUUGGCCAAAGGAGAUGUGGGCAGCCUAAGACACUUCAUUCUCCUCACAUACAUGAACACUUUUUGCUAUGCUAAGCCAAUCUGAUAAGGUCGCUUAAAAGAAAGCAAUCAACUCAAUCUUCUAAUAGAACCUUUCAUUCUUUCAAUGGCUGAGCCAACACAAUAUACAGUACCUCCAGGUUCUUAUAUCCCAACAAGAGUUAGUGCCCACCACAAACACUUGAACCACACCUGACAGAUGUUGAAGAAAGUUUCACUAUGCCGUCUUCCAGAGAAAAGCAGCGCAUCUAUUGUCUUCCUGGUGUCUCAGCUCCACUUGGGAAGUGGGUGGCAGCUGUUCCCACUUCAUUGACUGACCAGGGUCCAGCAGUUUCCUUAACUUGUUACUUCAAAUCUGAUAAGAUUUGAAACUGAAAUUUAAGAUUACAGCUAGAAGGCCUUUUCAGGAAGACUUCAGUGGCUAGGAGACUGGAGACAAGGAAGGGGUGGGGUGUACAGCAUACAUUUUUCUGUACUUGCCACUUAAUGGGGAAAGGUGGAAUGUUCAAGCUGGUUGGCAAGUGUUCUCUGAAUUUAAGAAGAAGUUUGUGCUUCAGGGAUUGCUGAAGCACUAAGAUUAGUUCUGAGCUGCAUUUUCAGCAUGAUUACAGUGCUACUUAAGGUACAAUUUGCACAAAAGAGACAUGAGAAAUAGUGGCAAAGCUAUUGCUGUCUGGGAUAUUGCUGGGAUGAUGCAAGUUGUGCUGCAAUAAAUCACAUUGGUUCACCUUUUCAUUUAAAGCUCUGUUGAAUACUAAGUGGUCUGUGAUCUGAGAACCCAUGUUACAUGUAAGGUCAGCCCAUAAGUACCUUGUUCCCUCAAAUUGCCACAUUACAGUAUUAAGUAGGAGAACUACAAUUGCAGUACACAAAAGUCUAGAUGGAACCCCUUUAGUAUUUUUAUUCAGUCAACAGCAAAAAAAACCCUAGAUUUUUUGAAAACGAAAGCUUGAUAUAUUGAAAAUACUGCUUUCUUUUAGUGUGUUUUGGCACACAGUGUUUUGUUAACACAAAGGAAGGUCUUUUAGUAUUGCCAAAAACAAGUGAUCCCAUCCUUCUUGGAACCAGUUUUAUGUCGAGAGGUGAAUGUAGACAUGAGUACAAAUUAAAAUGUGAUAUUUUAUCAUUGAAUUUAAUCAAUAUUUUAUAACACAUGGUUUCUCACAUUAUUGUGCUGGCUUUCCCUGUUUGAAAAAAUAUUUUAAGUGCUGUCUAAGUUGAAGUUUUAUCUGUAAAUAAAGUAAUUGGACAGCCAAAACCUUGAGGUACUUGUUGGACUUCAGUAACUUAUCAGCCACUGGCAAAUAAACUCCUACAAAACUCCUUAUAGAAACUUGCACUCUUUUUUCCCUUUUUCUUUCUACAGAAGAACGUGUAAAUAAAGAUAAUGUAGGACGUACCAAAAAGUCCAUUUUAAGCAGGGCAAUGGCAAGUUCUCCCAGACUUUUGUAUGCAUUGUAGAUUAGUGUCUGUAUACGUGUUAAUUGUAGUGGGGUUUUGUCUGACAAGCCUGAGAUUUAUACUUUGAAAUAAACUACUGGGUUUUUAA